This 424-nucleotide ribosomal RNA is filed under the name uncultured bacterium. RNAcentral's name for it is "partial 16S ribosomal RNA". It matches the Rfam family "Bacterial small subunit ribosomal RNA", at positions 360 to 776 of the family's 1533-position model. The record is from RNAcentral.
AAUUUUGGACAAUGGGGGAAACCCUGAUCCAGCCAUCCCGCGUGAAUGAUGAAGGCCUUCGGGUUGUAACGUACUUUUGGCAGAGAAGAAAAGGUAUAUCCUACUCCGAGAUACUGCUGACGGUAUCUGCAGAUUAAGCACCGGCUAACUACGUGACCGCAGCCGCGUGCAUACGGAGUGACCAGGAGUUAAUCGGAAUUACUGGGCGUAAAGCGUGUGUAGGCGGUUCGGAAAGAAAGAUGUGAAAUCCCAGGGCUCAACCUUGGAACUGCAUUUUUAACUGCCGAGCUAGAGUAUGUCAGAGGGGGGUAGAAUUCCACGUGUAGCAGUGAAAUGCGUAGAUAUGUGGAGGAAUACCGAUGGCGAAGGCAGCCCCCUGGGAUAAUACUGACGCUCAGACACGAAAGCGUGGGGAGCAAACAGG